GGAACCUUUCCUCUGAGGAGUCCGUGCGACGACCUGGCUCUCAUGCCUGGAAGCCACUUGGUGUCCCCGACUCACCCUGUGGCAUUUUUCUCCAGCUGCACAGAAACCUGGAAGUUGCCCAGAGUUUUCUCUUGACUGCCCUUUCAUCCUGUUACCUAUGUGCUGGCGGGAUAAAAGCUGCAAGGAGGUCAAAUGGUGUUGCUACUACAAACGUCGGCAUCAGUAUAGGGAGCCCUGCUGGACUUUGGAUUGAGGUGAGGAGCCCCAGAUCUGCUGCCCGUGAAACCUUCCUGCAGAAGCAUUGUCUUAGAACGAGUUGAGAACUGCCUAUUCCUGUAGAAAAUCACUGUGAUCAGAGGUUUUAAAUUAGGUCGGCCCAUAGAUCUGCCUCUGGACAAUGAAGGGAGAAGCUCAACAGAACUCCUUGCUUAGAUUAUGCACCUUCCAUUUCACAUAAUGGACUUCGCCCUUCUCCUCUCUGUAAAGAGGACAUUUCAGCAAGACUCAUUAAGAUCCUCAACAGUUACUGGCUUUUUAUUAUUUUUGAUUCCUAUUUUCUGCAGCUUAUAAUAAUGAAACACUUUCCUGUUCAUAUUUACACUGUGAGUGUUUAUGUAAUUUCACAGUUCCUUAGGAUGGCUUGCCUAGAAUCCCUGAUCCCAGUCCUUGAUUCCUGGAUAGCACAAGCCAGUGCUCUUCGGAGGAGAAUACGUAAGAGGAUCCAGACAAUGGCGUCCUAUUGCCUCAAAAUCUGCUGGAUAAAGAAUGAUGAAGAGCCAGGACAGUCCUGCAACACCCUGAAAAGAGGCAGUCCAUGAGGGCUCUCAGAAGUUACACCCCAGUUGUUUUACGUUGUCUCUUCCUGGCUUCCUGGAGGUGAAAGGAAACAGACGGUGCUUCCGGGUUAAGCAGAGGCACCUCUGACCUCCAGCCCCGGGAGUCAAAACGCCCUCUGUUGAUGGGGCCGCACCAAAGCUGACAUAGACAGGUCCAGGCUGCAGGUGCCCCCACACCGUUUUCUUGCAUUAUGAAGCUGAGUGGUUUCACUCUACUCUCUGUGAUCAUCCUCCUUUGCCUCCACAUGACCCAGCCUGGAGUCUUUAGGAAUGCGGCUGCACAGAAACCGGGAUAUUGCCCAGAGUUUGAUCUUACCUGCCCUUUCACCCUCUUACCUAUGUGCCGGCGCGAUAAGGGUUGCAAGGGAGUCAAGAAGUGUUGCUACUACAACUGUCGGCAUCAGUGUAUGGAGCCCUGGUGGACUCUGGAUUGAGUUUACAAUCAUGAAACAGUUUCCUCUUUACAUUUACAUUGUGAGGUGGAAAGCCCUUCUUUACCAGGACUGAGGAGACACAGGUGCUACAGGCUCAGACUGGGAUAACUGGUCUCCAUGUUGUCCAUGAUCGCUCAGGCCCAGGACUUCCUUUUAGCAAGAGUUAAAUGUUUCUUACUAUGAUAACAAGACAAAGAAAUAAAGCGUUGUAUAUUGAAAACUCCAUGAACAUCUGUAAGUCUGCUGGAUUGAUCUCUUGCUCUCUCUCUCUCUACUCAGCUGUGUUGCAUAAUCCCUCAGGAACUGUAAAAAGGACGGAGUUACUGUUUCACAUUUAGUUUCAUCAAUUCCUGCACUUGUGUUUUUCUGAUAUGUUUGUCUCUUUCAAUAUCUCCUGACACUCAGAUUCUCUGUUGGUCAGAUUCCAGGCGCAUUUUGGAGUUAAAUUCUCUGUGUUUGCAUCCUAUGAAUGGCAUGCCAAUUAAUUCUGUAAUGGAAGAGCAAGCCAUUUUUGCUUCAGUUUUUCUGGUACUACUGCUGGUGGCCUUUCCACGUGUUAGAGUAAUAUGAUCUGCAAUUGGAUUUGGAACUUAAGGUUGGAAAUUGAGCAAGGUGUACUUUAGUUCUAGGUACUUUCGUUCCUAAAAAUUGAGCCACCCUCUGUAGAGGACUGUGUGCUGGCAAACGAGAAGUUCCCGAUAAGCCCUGCUCUUGCAAACAAAGCAGGACAUUCCUUCUCUGCAAACAAGAAGGAUAAAGGAGCCAGCUGUAAGCAGCGGGCUCUGGGAACUGGUCAAUGUUUUACUGAUCUUGCGAGUCAAGGAAAGGUCAGAGAAGCAACACAUGUCCUGUGACUUGGCAACAUUCCACAAACGGCUGGAUAAAAAUAAAGCAGUGUGUGCCGUUCGGGGUGGCUGCCAUGUAUGUCUUGUCCUGUGUUGUCUUGUGUGUUCAUUCCUUUGUUUAGGAAACACGCGGACCCCAACAACUGGCGCAGCGAGCAGGGUCCGUGGCUCCAAGAGAGCAAGGAACCGGAGGGGGAGCACCCCGGGUGUGUGCCGGAGAUGAGUGGUUUCCAUCCCGAUGGUUAAAGCAGUGCCAUGGCGAAGAGGAGCCGGCCGGACGGCUUCCUGGUGGCAUUUCAAAAAUUAAAUCUGAGUACUCAGAAAACCUUCACCUACGAAACUUGUCAAGCAGAACCCCCGACAUGAGGUCAACUGAAAAAACUUACUCAAGAAGCUGAAGGGGUUGUUCAACAAGCUGGACAGCCCAAAACCUCACUGACCUUAUUUCUGGCUAUGCUAGCUGUAGUGAAUUGCCAGGUAACAGCUGGAAAAUUCACAUAUUGGACUUAUAUUCCCUUUCCACCCUUAUAUCAAGGUGUGGCCUAGGGAGACAAAGAAGUUUUAGUAUUUACUAAUGAUACUACUUGGAUGCCAUCACCUUUUUUAAAUCAGAAUCCUGAGUUAGACACGGGUGCAGUAAACAGUUCAUAUCAAUUUGGGGUAGAAGGGUUACCUGUAUGUCUUGGAAACGGUCCACAUUGUUUACCUCCUUCUCAUAAGGCUUGGGCUGUGCGCUAAAAUCAUAGUCACAUUGCCGCAUUUACUAUGAUUGUUGUUAUUCAGAGUUUUAAAUAUAAUCAUACUACUCUACUUAAUGAAACCUUGCCUACUACAUUAUCCUUAUGUCCUAUUCCUGACGUGUCCGGAGGUGUUUCCCAAUUAAAGUGGACUAGAUGUAAAAGAAGUAGACCACGAUUAUUAUUAGAGGUAAAAGGUAGACAUUAUAGAUACCUUGUCACUGACUAGAGGGUGCAUGGAAAUUUUCAGACUAAGUUUAGCCACUUUAGCCUACGAUGGCAUAAAAAUAAUCACAACAUUUAUGCUGAUGGUAACGAAACUAUUAUUUGGCAUGAUGGUGGCUUGUCACCCCCUAUGCCAUAUUUGGCCAACACCUCACAAAUACAAAGUCAUAUAUGGAAGUUACUAGCUGCUGGCAAACCAAUAUCUACUUUUACGGGAAACAUGUCCUUAAAUACCACUAAUCCUUCUAAUCCUUUCCAUAUAUCUUUACAUCAAAACAGAUCUAGAUAUGUCAUUGCUUGUGUUAAAAAACCUUACUUGUUGUUAGCGGGAAUCUUUAAAUGGGAUAAUAAUAUGGGAAUAGUUAACUGUAUGGACAAUUGUACAUUUUUAAGCUGUAUAAAUACUACUUGAUGGCAUAAUAAUUGGAAUGAGACUCACUCCAAUAUAUAUAUUUUAAGAGCUAGAAAAGAAGUCUGGUUACCUGUGAACUUGACACGCAUCUGGAGUAAAUCUACUGGGGUUACUCAAAUUUACAAAGUAAUGCAAGAUCUUGUCCACCGCAGCCGGAGAGCGGUUGGGAUUGUUGUAACAGCAGUAGUGGGACUUGUGGCCAUUGCUUCCACCGCCGCUGUUGCUGGACUGGCGUUACAUCAGAAUAUCCAAAAUGCAGAGUUCGUGCAACAAUGGCAUGAAUAAUCUCACUUGUUGUGGCAACAACAAUGAGACAUCGAUGCUCAUUUGACUAAACGAGUAGAUAACUUAGAACAAGUGGUUUCUUGGAUAGGAGAUCAGCUGAUAGUGUUAAAUACUCGAGCCUUGUUAAAAUGUGACUGAAAUACUACUCAAUUUUGUAUUACCCCUGUUCCUUUUAACAGCACUGUACAUAAUUGGACAGAGAUAAAGAGGCUUUUAAUUGGCCAUAAUAAUCUUUCCCUGGAAAUACAAGAACUAACACACAAUAUUUCUGAAACAUUUCCUAAUCAGUUACCAUUGUGAACUGGUGCAAAUUUAAUGACUGGUAUUGUGCAAAGCUUGAAAUCUUUAAACCCUAUGAGUCCUGUAAAAACCUUACUGACUUCUGUUUCUAGUAAUGUAUUAAUUGUUGUUUUUGCCUUUGUCAUUUUCACAGUCUACUAGAAACGGUGCCAAAGGGCAAACACCAAAUCCCAACGAGCCCAACAUGUGAUAAUGGUUUUGAAAGAAAUUCAAACCUGUAAAUAAGAAGGGGGAGAUAAUAAUAAUAAUAAUAAUAAGUAGAGGACUGUGUGCUGGCAAACGAGAAGUUCCCGAUAAGCCCUGCUCUUGCAAACAAAGCAGGACAUUCCUUCUCUGCAAACAAGAAGGAUAAAGGAGCCAGCUGUAAGCAGCGGGCUCUGGGAACUGGUCAAUGUUUUACUGAUCUUGCGAGUCAAGGAAAGGUCAGAGAAGCAACACAUGUCCCGUGACUUGGCAACAUUCCACAAACGGCUGGAUAAAAAUAAAGCAGUGUGUGCCAUUCGGGGCGGCCGCCAUGUAUGUCUUGUCCUGUGUUGUCUUGUGUGUUCAUUCCUUUGUUUAGGAAACACGCGGACCCCAACACCCUCAAUUUGGAGAACAAAAUCCUUAUGGUUCAGCCUACCUCCCUUGAGUCUUUGGUUGGGGGUUGGGCCCUAAGUCUACCUAAUAAUGAAGUGUAAUUAGCCAUGAAUUUUCCAGAUUUGUAACUCUGUGCUUCCUUAACUCCCACAAAGGUUUCAAGGGUCUGGGAAAGUGAUUUUCCAAAAUUUUAUUUAUCUCUAACAAGUAUCUUAACAAUUUUGAAAAACUACUUUUUCCCAAGCAUGUUUCAAAUUGACAUCUAAUAUUUUUAUGAUCAUUGCAUAGUUUCUUUUUUUUUUCCGUAAAUAAAAUUUUAUUGGAACACA
Macaca mulatta (Rhesus monkey) is the source of this 4982-nucleotide long non-coding RNA. RefSeq lists it as uncharacterized. The record is from RefSeq and is a predicted model, not a curated record. Lineage: Eukaryota; Metazoa; Chordata; Mammalia; Primates; Cercopithecidae.